GUAGGUAGCAAGCGUUGUCCGGAAUUAUUGGGCGUAAAGCGCGCGCAGGCGGUCCUUUAAGUCUGAUGUGAAAGCCCACGGCUCAACCGUGGAGGGUCAUUGGAAACUGGGGGACUUGAGUACAGAAGAGGAAAGCGGAAUUCCAAGUGUAGCGGUGAAAUGCGUAGAGAUUUGGAGGAACACCAGUGGCGAAGGCGGCUUUCUGGUCUGUAACUGACGCUGAGGCGCGAAAGCGUGGGGAGCAAACAGGAUUAGAUACCCUGGUAGUCCACGCCGUAAACGAUGAGUGCUAAGUGUUAGGGGGUUUCCCGCCCCCCUUAGUGCUGCAGCUAACGCAUUAAGCACUCCGCCUGGGGAGUACGGCCGCAAGGCUGA
Molecule: ribosomal RNA, 375 nt
Filed under: uncultured organism
Description: partial 16S ribosomal RNA
Rfam family: Bacterial small subunit ribosomal RNA
Source: RNAcentral